GGGGGUAUAGCUCAGCUGGCUAGAGCACCUGCUUUGCAAGCAGGGGGUCAUCGGUUCGAAUCCGUUUACCUCCA
Molecule: transfer RNA, 74 nt
Filed under: Runella slithyformis DSM 19594
Lineage: Bacteria; Pseudomonadati; Bacteroidota; Cytophagia; Cytophagales; Spirosomataceae
Also listed under: 5 other names
Description: tRNA-Ala (TGC) (tRNA-Ala-TGC-1-1)
Rfam family: tRNA
About the family: Transfer RNA (tRNA) molecules are approximately 80 nucleotides in length. Their secondary structure includes four short double-helical elements and three loops (D, anti-codon, and T loops). Further hydrogen bonds mediate the characteristic L-shaped molecular structure. tRNAs have two regions of fundamental functional importance: the anti-codon, which is responsible for specific mRNA codon recognition, and the 3' end, to which the tRNAs corresponding amino acid is attached (by aminoacyl-tRNA synthetases). tRNAs cope with the degeneracy of the genetic code in two manners: having more than one tRNA (with a specific anti-codon) for a particular amino acid; and 'wobble' base-pairing, i.e. permitting non-standard base-pairing at the 3rd anti-codon position.
Source: Rfam by way of RNAcentral